This 468-nucleotide ribosomal RNA is filed under the name uncultured bacterium. RNAcentral's name for it is "partial 16S ribosomal RNA". It matches the Rfam family "Bacterial small subunit ribosomal RNA", at positions 28 to 507 of the family's 1533-position model. The record is from RNAcentral.
GACGAACGCUGGCGGCGUGCUUAACACAUGCAAGUCGAACGGAAAGGCCCUGCUUUUGUGUGGUGCUCGAGUGGCGAACGGAUGUGUAACACGUGAGUAACCUGCCCUUGACUUUGGGAUACCUUCAGGAAACUGGGGAUAAUACCGGAUAGGUGCUCCUGCUGCAUGGUGGGGGUUGGAAAGUGGCGGCGGUGUGGGAUGGUCUCGCGGGUUCACAGCUUGUUGGGGGGGUAGUGGCUUACCAAGGGUUUGGCGGGUCGCCGACCUGAGAAGGUGACCGGCGACAUUGGGCCUGAGAGACGGCCCAGACUCCUACGUGAGGCAGCAGUGGGAAAUAUUGCACAAUGGGCGGAAGCCUGAUGCAGCGACGCCGCGUGCGGGAUGCCGGCCUGCGGGUUGUAAACCGCUUUCGCCUGUGCCGAAGCGUGAGUGACGGUAAUGGGUAAAGAAGCACCGGCUAACUACGUG